This 815-nucleotide ribosomal RNA is filed under the name Microbacterium oxydans. Its description in RNAcentral is "bacterial SSU rRNA". It matches the Rfam family "Bacterial small subunit ribosomal RNA", at positions 82 to 905 of the family's 1533-position model. Lineage: Bacteria; Bacillati; Actinomycetota; Actinomycetes; Micrococcales; Microbacteriaceae. The record is from RNAcentral.
GUGGUGGAACUGAGUGGCGCCAAGGGUGCACGUAACACGUGGAGCAACCUGCCCCUGACUCUGGGAUAAGCGCUGGAAACGGCGUCUAAUACUGGAUAUGUGACGUGACCGCAUGGUCUGCGUUUGGAAAGAUUUUUCGGUUGGGGAUGGGCUCGCGGCCUAUCAGCUUGUUGGUGAGGUAAUGGCUCACCAAGGCGUCGACGGGUAGCCGGCCUGAGAGGGUGACCGGCCACACUGGGACUGAGACACGGCCCAGACUCCUACGGGAGGCAGCAGUGGGGAAUAUUGCACAAUGGGCGAAAGCCUGAUGCAGCAACGCCGCGUGAGGGAUGACGGCCUUCGGGUUGUAAACCUCUUUUAGCAGGGAAGAAGCGAAAGUGACGGUACCUGCAGAAAAAGCGCCGGCUAACUACGUGCCAGCAGCCGCGGUAAUACGUAGGGCGCAAGCGUUAUCCGGAAUUAUUGGGCGUAAAGAGCUCGUAGGCGGUUUGUCGCGUCUGCUGUGAAAUCCCGAGGCUCAACCUCGGGCCUGCAGUGGGUACGGGCAGACUAGAGUGCGGUAGGGGAGAUUGGAAUUCCUGGUGUAGCGGUGGAAUGCGCAGAUAUCAGGAGGAACACCGAUGGCGAAGGCAGAUCUCUGGGCCGUAACUGACGCUGAGGAGCGAAAGGGUGGGGAGCAAACAGGCUUAGAUACCCUGGUAGUCCACCCCGUAAACGUUGGGAACUAGUUGUGGGGUCCAUUCCACGGAUUCCGUGACGCAGCUAACGCAUUAAGUUCCCCGCCUGGGGAGUACGGCCGCAAGCUAAAACUCAAA